This 274-nucleotide ribosomal RNA is filed under the name uncultured bacterium. RNAcentral's name for it is "partial 16S ribosomal RNA". It matches the Rfam family "Bacterial small subunit ribosomal RNA", at positions 523 to 796 of the family's 1533-position model. The record is from RNAcentral.
AUACGGAGGGUGCAAGCGUUAAUCGGAAUUACUGGGCGUAAAGCGUGCGCAGGCGGCUUUAUAAGCCAGAUGUGAAAUCCCCGGGCUCAACCUGGGAACUGCAUUUGGAACUGUAAGGCUAGAGUACGGCAGAGGGGGGUAGAAUUCCACGUGUAGCAGUGAAAUGCGUAGAUAUGUGGAGGAAUACCGAUGGCGAAGGCAGCCCCCUGGGUCGAUACUGACGCUCAUGCACGAAAGCGUGGGGAGCAAACAGGAUUAGAAACCCCAGUAGUCC